AGAGUUUGAUCCUGGCUCAGAAUCAACGCUGGCGGCGCGCUUAACACAUGCAAGUCGAGCGAGAAAGGGGCAACCUGAGUACAGCGGCGUACGGGUGAGUAACACGUGGAUCAUCUACCUUUUAGUGGGGAAUAACUCUGGGAAACCGGAGCUAAUACCGCAUAAUCCUGUGAAGGGAAAGCAGCAAUGCGCUGAAAGAG
Molecule: ribosomal RNA, 200 nt
Filed under: uncultured bacterium
Lineage: Bacteria
Description: partial 16S ribosomal RNA
Rfam family: Bacterial small subunit ribosomal RNA
Source: RNAcentral